This is a small nucleolar RNA of Echinops telfairi (small Madagascar hedgehog), 130 nucleotides long. The record is from Ensembl. NCBI's taxonomy places the organism in Eukaryota, Metazoa, Chordata, Mammalia, Afrosoricida, Tenrecidae.
UAUCCCAUUGAUUUGCUGCUAUUGUCUGUCAGUGACAUGAGCAGUUAUAAGCUUGGGAUAAAAUAUAUGAGACGCUUGCAAAUUGAGAUGCAAAUAAUCAUAUUCUCUCUUCUGCAUGGUCUGGGCAUUG